RNAcentral lists this ribosomal RNA (497 nucleotides) under uncultured bacterium. RNAcentral's name for it is "partial 16S ribosomal RNA". It matches the Rfam family "Bacterial small subunit ribosomal RNA", at positions 28 to 507 of the family's 1533-position model. The record is from RNAcentral.
GAUGAACGCUGGCGGCGUGCCUAAUACAUGCAAGUCGAGCGAACAGACGAGGAGCUUGCUCCCCUGACGUUAGCGGCGGACGGGUGAGUAACACGUGGAUAACCUACCUAUAAGACUGGGAUAACUUCGGGAAACCGGAGCUAAUACCGGAUAAUAUAUUGAACCGCAUGGUUCAAUAGUGAAAGACGGUUUUGCUGUCACUUAUAGAUGGAUCCGCGCCGCAUUAGCUAGUUGGUAAGGUAACGGCUUACCAAGGAAACGAUGCGUAGCCGACCUGAGAGGGUGAUCGGCCACACUGGAACUGAGACACGGUCCAGACUCCUACGGGAGGCAGCAGUAGGGAAUCUUCCGCAAUGGGCGAAAGCCUGACGGAGCAACGCCGCGUGAGUGAUGAAGGUCUUCGGAUCGUAAAACUCUGUUAUUAGGGAAGAACAAAUGUGUAAGUAACUAUGCACGUCUUGACGGUACCUAAUCAGAAAGCCACGGCUAACUACGUG